CAGCCGCCACGGUAAUACGUAGGUGGCAAGCGUUGUCCGGAAUUAUUGGGCGUAAAGGGCUCGCAGGCGGUUUCUUAAGUCUGAUGUGAAAGCCCCCGGCUCAACCGGGGGGGGUCAUUGGAAACUGGGAAACUUGAGUGCAGAAGAGGAGAGUGGAACUCCACGUGUAGCGGUGAAAUGCGUAGAGAUGUGGAGGAACACCAGUGGCGAAGGCGACUCUCUGGUCUGUAACUGACGCUGAGGAGCGAAAGCGUGGGGAGCGAACAGGAUUAGAUACCCCCGUAGUCCCUGUCUCUUAUAC
RNAcentral lists this ribosomal RNA (301 nucleotides) under uncultured bacterium. Its description in RNAcentral is "partial 16S ribosomal RNA". It matches the Rfam family "Bacterial small subunit ribosomal RNA", at positions 509 to 807 of the family's 1533-position model. The record is from RNAcentral.